AUUGAGUAUAAGUUGAAGUUAUCUAAUGUGCAUCCUGUAGCUUUGCCAAGUGGAACAUCUGCCGCAAGCUUUUGAACAGGUACGUAUAACGUAUUUAUAGAUAUAAUAUGGCUGUCAGCGUCUUGAACCCAGACACAACACACGUUAUCAUAUAUUACAUUACAUAAUUUGACCUGGAAAAUAUAGACGGCACUCUAACCAUGCCCUUGAAUGUUCGUCUGAAGUGAUUUCUACUGACAGCUCUGCCUUUAGCAAGACAAGAGUUCAGUGGUCCCAACACGCAUUUCCCAAGGCUAUAGCCGUGACAAGUUAUUCAGUAAGGCAGAGAAAUUGCAGACCAGGGAAUCUACAGUGUUCUCCAAAUAAUAUAUUGUAAAGGACGGAUGGCAGCAUCACUAUUCCGUGUACAACUUUGUUUUACCAAGAAAUAGUUACCAACCUAAAAUAAAGCGAACAAAGAAUUUCACAAAGGUCUCUAUACUUGAAGUGCACACGGGAAAAAAUGCAUAUACUCCAACAUAAACUUUAUACUAUGAUAGAAACAUAGAAAGUUUCACAAACAAG
This is a long non-coding RNA of Mytilus trossulus (common blue mussel), 564 nucleotides long. RefSeq lists it as uncharacterized. NCBI's taxonomy places the organism in Eukaryota, Metazoa, Mollusca, Bivalvia, Mytilida, Mytilidae. The record is from RefSeq and is a predicted model, not a curated record. The transcript has 2 exons.